Molecule: ribosomal RNA, 253 nt
Filed under: uncultured bacterium
Lineage: Bacteria
Description: partial 16S ribosomal RNA
Rfam family: Bacterial small subunit ribosomal RNA
Source: RNAcentral
UACGGAGGAUCCGAGCGUUAUCCGGAUUUAUUGGGUUUAAAGGGAGCGUAGGUGGAUUGUUAAGUCAGUUGUGAAAGUUUGCGGCUCAACCGUAAAAUUGCAGUUGAAACUGGCAGUCUUGAGUACAGUAGAUGUGGGCGGAAUUCGUGGUGUAGCGGUGAAAUGCUUAGAUAUCACGAAGAACUCCGAUUGCGAAGGCAGCUCACUGGACUGCAACUGACACUGAGGCUCGAAAGUGUGGGUGUCAAACAGG